This 161-nucleotide ribosomal RNA is filed under the name uncultured archaeon. Its description in RNAcentral is "partial 16S rRNA". It matches the Rfam family "Archaeal small subunit ribosomal RNA", at positions 369 to 530 of the family's 1478-position model. The record is from RNAcentral.
GAUAAGGGGAUCUCGAGUGCCAGGUUACAAAUCUGGCUGUCGUGAUGCCUAAAAAGCAUUGCAUAGCAAGGGCCGGGCAAGACCGGUGCCAGCCGCCGCGGUAACACCGGCGGCUCGAGUGGUAACCGUUAUUAUUGGGUCUAAAGGGUCUGUAGCCGGCC